This 498-nucleotide ribosomal RNA is filed under the name uncultured bacterium. Its description in RNAcentral is "partial 16S ribosomal RNA". It matches the Rfam family "Bacterial small subunit ribosomal RNA", at positions 30 to 523 of the family's 1533-position model. The record is from RNAcentral.
AUUGAACGCUGGCGGCAUGCCUUACACAUGCAAGUCGAACGGCAGCGGACCUUCGGGUGCCGGCGAGUGGCGAACGGGUGAGUAAUGCAUCGGAACGUACCUUUCAGUGGGGGAUAACGUAGCGAAAGUUACGCUAAUACCGCAUAUUCUGUGAGCAGGAAAGCAGGGGAUCGCAAGACCUUGCGCUGAUUGAGCGGCCGAUGUCAGAUUAGCUAGUUGGUGAGGUAAAGGCUCACCAAGGCGACGAUCUGUAGCGGGUCUGAGAGGAUGAUCCGCCACACUGGAACUGAGACACGGCCCAGACUCCUACGGGAGGCAGCAGUGGGGAAUUUUGGACAAUGGGGGCAACCCUGAUCCAGCCAUGCCGCGUGAGUGAAGAAGGCCUUCGGGUUGUAAAGCUCUUUCGGCCGGGAAGAAAUCGCACGGGCUAAUACCCUGUGUGGAUGACGGUACCGGAAUAAGAAGCACCGGCUAACUACGUGCCAGCAGCCGCCGUAA